CCUACGGGUGGCAGCAGUGGGGAAUAUUGCACAAUGGGCGAAAGCCUGAUGCAGCAACGCCGCGUGAGCGAUGAAGGCCUUCGGGUCGUUAAGCUCUGUCCUCAAGGAAGCUAAUGACGGUACUUGAGGAGGAAGCCCCGGCUAACUACGUGCCAGCAGCCGCGGUAAUACGUAGGGGGCUAGCGUUAUACGGAAUUACUGGGCGUAAAGGGUGCGUAGGUGGUUUCUUAAGUCAGAGGUGAAAGGCUAGGGCUCAACCGUAGUAAGCCUUUGAAACUGGGGAACUUGAGUGCAGGAGAGGAGAGUGGAAUGCGUAGUGUAGCGGUGAAAUGCGUAGAUAUUAGGCGGAACACCAGUGGCGAAGGCGGCUUACUGGCCUGUAACUGACGUUGAGGCUCGAAAGCGUGGGGAGCAAACAGGAUUAGAUACCCGGGUAGUC
RNAcentral lists this ribosomal RNA (439 nucleotides) under uncultured bacterium. RNAcentral's name for it is "partial 16S ribosomal RNA". It matches the Rfam family "Bacterial small subunit ribosomal RNA", at positions 338 to 795 of the family's 1533-position model. The record is from RNAcentral.